RNAcentral lists this ribosomal RNA (2899 nucleotides) under Klebsiella pneumoniae. RNAcentral's name for it is "bacterial LSU rRNA". It matches the Rfam family "Bacterial large subunit ribosomal RNA". The record is from RNAcentral. Lineage: Bacteria; Pseudomonadati; Pseudomonadota; Gammaproteobacteria; Enterobacterales; Enterobacteriaceae.
UUAAGCGACUAAGCGUACACGGUGGAUGCCCUGGCAGUCAGAGGCGAUGAAGGACGUGCUAAUCUGCGAAAAGCGUCGGUAAGGUGAUAUGAACCGUUACAGCCGGCGAUGUCCGAAUGGGGAAACCCAGUGUGAUUCGUCACACUAUCGUUAACUGAAUACAUAGGUUAACGAGGCGAACCGGGGGAACUGAAACAUCUAAGUACCCCGAGGAAAAGAAAUCAACCGAGAUUCCCCCAGUAGCGGCGAGCGAACGGGGAGCAGCCCAGAGUCUGAAUCAGCUUGUGUGUUAGUGGAACGGUCUGGAAAGUCCGACGGUACAGGGUGAUAGUCCCGUACACCAAAAUGCACAGGCUGUGAACUCGAAGAGUAGGGCGGGACACGUGGUAUCCUGUCUGAAUAUGGGGGGACCAUCCUCCAAGGCUAAAUACUCCUGACUGACCGAUAGUGAACCAGUACCGUGAGGGAAAGGCGAAAAGAACCCCGGCGAGGGGAGUGAAAAAGAACCUGAAACCGUGUACGUACAAGCAGUGGGAGCACCUUCGGGUGUGACUGCGUACCUUUUGUAUAAUGGGUCAGCGACUUAUAUUCUGUAGCAAGGUUAACCGUAUAGGGGAGCCGCAGGGAAACCGAGUCUUAACUGGGCGUUAAGUUGCAGGGUAUAGACCCGAAACCCGGUGAUCUAGCCAUGGGCAGGUUGAAGGUUGGGUAACACUAACUGGAGGACCGAACCGACUAAUGUUGAAAAAUUAGCGGAUGACUUGUGGCUGGGGGUGAAAGGCCAAUCAAACCGGGAGAUAGCUGGUUCUCCCCGAAAGCUAUUUAGGUAGCGCCUCGUGAAUUCAUCUUCGGGGGUAGAGCACUGUUUCGGCUAGGGGGUCAUCCCGACUUACCAACCCGAUGCAAACUACGAAUACCGAAGAAUGUUAUCACGGGAGACACACGGCGGGUGCUAACGUCCGUCGUGAAGAGGGAAACAACCCAGACCGCCAGCUAAGGUCCCAAAGUCAUGGUUAAGUGGGAAACGAUGUGGGAAGGCACAGACAGCCAGGAUGUUGGCUUAGAAGCAGCCAUCAUUUAAAGAAAGCGUAAUAGCUCACUGGUCGAGUCGGCCUGCGCGGAAGAUGUAACGGGGCUAAACCAUGCACCGAAGCUGCGGCAGCGACACUAUGUGUUGUUGGGUAGGGGAGCGUUCUGUAAGCCUGCGAAGGUGACCUGUGAGGGUUGCUGGAGGUAUCAGAAGUGCGAAUGCUGACAUAAGUAACGAUAAAGCGGGUGAAAAGCCCGCUCGCCGGAAGACCAAGGGUUCCUGUCCAACGUUAAUCGGGGCAGGGUGAGUCGACCCCUAAGGCGAGGCCGAAAGGCGUAGUCGAUGGGAAACAGGUUAAUAUUCCUGUACUUGGUGUUACUGCGAAGGGGGGACGGAGAAGGCUAUGUUAGCCGGGCGACGGUUGUCCCGGUUUAAGCAUGUAGGCUGAUUAUCCAGGCAAAUCCGGAUAAUCAAGGCUGAGGUGUGAUGACGAGGCACUACGGUGCUGAAGUAACAAAUGCCCUGCUUCCAGGAAAAGCCUCUAAGCAUCAGGUAACAUCAAAUCGUACCCCAAACCGACACAGGUGGUCAGGUAGAGAAUACCAAGGCGCUUGAGAGAACUCGGGUGAAGGAACUAGGCAAAAUGGUGCCGUAACUUCGGGAGAAGGCACGCUGGUGUGUAGGUGAAGUCCCUGCGGAUGGAGCUGAGACCAGUCGAAGAUACCAGCUGGCUGCAACUGUUUAUUAAAAACACAGCACUGUGCAAACACGAAAGUGGACGUAUACGGUGUGACGCCUGCCCGGUGCCGGAAGGUUAAUUGAUGGGGUUAUCCGUAAGGAGAAGCUCUUGAUCGAAGCCCCGGUAAACGGCGGCCGUAACUAUAACGGUCCUAAGGUAGCGAAAUUCCUUGUCGGGUAAGUUCCGACCUGCACGAAUGGCGUAAUGAUGGCCAGGCUGUCUCCACCCGAGACUCAGUGAAAUUGAACUCGCUGUGAAGAUGCAGUGUACCCGCGGCAAGACGGAAAGACCCCGUGAACCUUUACUAUAGCUUGACACUGAACAUUGAGCCUUGAUGUGUAGGAUAGGUGGGAGGCUUUGAAGCGUGGACGCCAGUCUGCGUGGAGCCAACCUUGAAAUACCACCCUUUAAUGUUUGAUGUUCUAACGUUGGCCCCUGACCGGGGUUGCGGACAGUGUCUGGUGGGUAGUUUGACUGGGGCGGUCUCCUCCCAAAGCGUAACGGAGGAGCACGAAGGUUAGCUAAUCCUGGUCGGACAUCAGGAGGUUAGUGCAAUGGCAUAAGCUAGCUUGACUGCGAGCGUGACGGCGCGAGCAGGUGCGAAAGCAGGUCAUAGUGAUCCGGUGGUUCUGAAUGGAAGGGCCAUCGCUCAACGGAUAAAAGGUACUCCGGGGAUAACAGGCUGAUACCGCCCAAGAGUUCAUAUCGACGGCGGUGUUUGGCACCUCGAUGUCGGCUCAUCACAUCCUGGGGCUGAAGUAGGUCCCAAGGGUAUGGCUGUUCGCCAUUUAAAGUGGUACGCGAGCUGGGUUUAGAACGUCGUGAGACAGUUCGGUCCCUAUCUGCCGUGGGCGCUGGAGAAUUGAGGGGGGCUGCUCCUAGUACGAGAGGACCGGAGUGGACGCAUCACUGGUGUUCGGGUUGUCAUGCCAAUGGCACUGCCCGGUAGCUAAAUGCGGAAGAGAUAAGUGCUGAAAGCAUCUAAGCACGAAACUUGCCCCGAGAUGAGUUCUCCCUGAGACUUUAAGUCUCCUGAAGGAACGUUAAAGACGAUGACGUUGAUAGGCCGGGUGUGUAAGCGCAGCGAUGCGUUGAGCUAACCGGUACUAAUGAACCGUGAGGCUUAACCU